RNAcentral lists this ribosomal RNA (259 nucleotides) under uncultured bacterium. Its description in RNAcentral is "partial 16S ribosomal RNA". It matches the Rfam family "Bacterial small subunit ribosomal RNA", at positions 524 to 776 of the family's 1533-position model. The record is from RNAcentral.
UACGUAGGGGGGCAAGCGUUGUCCGGAUUUAUUGGGCGUAAAGAGCGUGUAGGCGGCCAAGCAGGUCAGCUGUGAAAAACUCGAGGCUCAACCUCGAGACGUCGGUUGAAACCGUUUGGCUAGAGUCCGGAAGAGGAGAGUGGAAUUCCCGGUGUAGCGGUGAAAUGCGCAGAUAUCGGGGAAGAACACCCGUGGCGAAGGCGGCUCUCUGGGACGGUACUGACGCUGAGACGCGAAAAGCGUGGGGGAGCGAAACAGG